AACCAGUUACUUGGUGCUGUUGUAAGCGGUGCACGUGUAUAAGACACUUGUUGAGUUCAAAAUAAAAUCCGAAACAUGACAUAUGCUUUCAUAAUAGUGGUGUCCGUGGCAAUAACAUUAAAACUAUUGUUUAUGAGCUUCUCUUUAUACUUUACUCUCAAACAUGAAGGAUCAGAAAUAAAGGAGGGAUCUACAAAGAAGAACGGGAAAGGAAUUAUGGCAAAAUGCAAACAAAUCACUCGAGCAUUCAUGCCAAAAAUGAAUUGUAGUCCAGAAGGAAAAGACAAAUAUAACUUGAACUACAGUUGAAAAUCUGCUAUCAUAUUAUAAUUUAUAUUUAUCAAUUCUAAUAUUUUUCCACGUAUGUACAUAUAGGUGUGGCUAGUAAUAAUAUAAACAUAUAUUUAAGCA
Zerene cesonia (dogface butterfly) is the source of this 411-nucleotide long non-coding RNA. RefSeq lists it as uncharacterized. NCBI's taxonomy places the organism in Eukaryota, Metazoa, Arthropoda, Insecta, Lepidoptera, Pieridae. The transcript has 2 exons. The record is from RefSeq and is a predicted model, not a curated record.